GAAUGUGAGGGUGAUCUGGGUGCAGUAUUACCCCAGUGAUCACCAGGGUUGAUUCAGCUGACCUGGCUGGCUCCCUGGGUACCCCCUUUCCUUCCUUACUGUUCCAUGUGCCUCCCCCUUGCAAAGCUUCAUGAAACUUAAAAAAAAAAAAACACACAGAAAGGCUGGAAUUGAUUGAAGGUGUAAAAGUAUCUGAUUUCUGGGAGUCAGGCAGUAGGGCAGUGGGUUAAGUGCAGGUGGCACAAAGCACAAAGACCGGCGUAAGGAUCCCGGUUCAAGUGACCUACAGGGGAGUCACUUCACAAGUGGUGAAGCAGGUCUGCAGGUGUCUAUCUUUCUCU
RNAcentral lists this small nuclear RNA (341 nucleotides) under Erinaceus europaeus (western European hedgehog). Its description in RNAcentral is "7SK RNA". It matches the Rfam family "7SK RNA". From Rfam's summary of the family: 7SK was discovered as an abundant small nuclear RNA in the mid-70s but a possible function has only recently been suggested. Two independent studies have found that 7SK RNA binds the CDK9/cyclin T complex (known as elongation factor P-TEFb). Lineage: Eukaryota; Metazoa; Chordata; Mammalia; Eulipotyphla; Erinaceidae. The record is from Rfam by way of RNAcentral.